This 283-nucleotide small RNA is filed under the name Macaca nemestrina (pig-tailed macaque). Its description in RNAcentral is "Metazoan signal recognition particle RNA (ENSMNEG00000004626.1)". The record is from RNAcentral. Lineage: Eukaryota; Metazoa; Chordata; Mammalia; Primates; Cercopithecidae.
GCUGGGUGGGCUGGCUCACGCCUGUAAUCCCAGCACUUUGGGAGGCUGAGGCAGGAGGAUCACUUGAGCCCAGGAGUCUGAGGCCAGCCUGUGCAACAAGGCAAAACACUGUCUUUACAAAAAAUUUUAAAAUUAGCUGGGCGUGGUGGCGCACGCCUGUAGUCCCAGCUACUCAGGAGGCUGAGGUGGGAGGAUCUGCUUGAGCCUGGGAAGCAGAGCUUGUGGUGAGCUGUGAUCAUACCACUGCACUCCAGCCUGGGCGACAGAGCGAGACCCUGUCUCA